RNAcentral lists this ribosomal RNA (425 nucleotides) under uncultured bacterium. Its description in RNAcentral is "partial 16S ribosomal RNA". It matches the Rfam family "Bacterial small subunit ribosomal RNA", at positions 354 to 796 of the family's 1533-position model. The record is from RNAcentral.
GUGGGGAAUCUUGCGCAAUGGGCGAAAGCCUGACGCAGCCAUGCCGCGUGAAUGAUGAAGGUCUUAGGAUUGUAAAAUUCUUUCACCGGGGACGAUAAUGACGGUACCCGGAGAAGAAGCUCCGGCUAACUUCGUGCCAGCAGCCGCGGUAAUACGAAGGGGGCUAGCGUUGCUCGGAAUUACUGGGCGUAAAGGGCGCGUAGGCGGACAGCUUAGUCAGAGGUGAAAGCCCAGGGCUCAACCUUGGAAUUGCCUUUGAUACUGGCUGUCUUGAGUUUGGGAGAGGUGAGUGGAACUCCGAGUGUAGAGGUGAAAUUCGUAGAUAUUCGGAGGAACACCAGUGGCGAAGGCGGCUCACUGGCUCGAUACUGACGCUGAGGUGCGAAAGCGUGGGGAGCAAACAGGAUUAGAAACCCCAGUAGUCC